GUCCUGAGGUGGCUAAGUCAGCAGAGCAUGAGACUCUGGAUCUCAGGGUCGUGGGUUCGAGCCCCAUGUUGGGCA
Molecule: non-coding RNA, 75 nt
Organism: Podarcis lilfordi (Lilford's wall lizard)
Lineage: Eukaryota; Metazoa; Chordata; Lepidosauria; Squamata; Lacertidae
Source: the annotation of a GenBank genome assembly